UACGAAGGGGGCUAGCGUUGCUCGGAAUCACUGGGCGUAAAGCGCACGUAGGCGGAUUGCUAAGUCAGGGGUGAAAUCCUGGAGCUCAACUCCAGAACUGCCUUUGAUACUGGGGAUCUUGAGUCCGGGAGAGGUGAGUGGAACUGCGAGUGUAGAGGUGAAAUUCGUAGAUAUUCGCAAGAACACCAGUGGCGAAGGCGGCUCACUGGCCCGGUACUGACGCUGAGGUGCGAAAGCGUGGGGAGCAAACAGG
This 253-nucleotide ribosomal RNA is filed under the name uncultured bacterium. Its description in RNAcentral is "partial 16S ribosomal RNA". It matches the Rfam family "Bacterial small subunit ribosomal RNA", at positions 524 to 776 of the family's 1533-position model. The record is from RNAcentral.